UGGUCGAGAAGAAAUUGAGGACAAAGAUAUAGUUGAAUGUCUAGAAAGAGAUGUCAACUUUUGGACGGACUUCUCUAAGGUUCACUACCACCCUCAAAGUUUAUAUCAAUUCAAUGGAUCAUGGGUGGAUGCUCGGGAGUUUGACAGUUAUGGAAUUGGAAAAGAAUCUUUCUCUUGGAGUUUGCAAGGUGAAGAAAUUGAUGAAAGGCUUCGUUUUUUUGUGGAGG
This 227-nucleotide unclassified non-coding RNA is filed under the name Hevea brasiliensis (rubber tree). Lineage: Eukaryota; Viridiplantae; Streptophyta; Magnoliopsida; Malpighiales; Euphorbiaceae. The record is from RNAcentral.